AACGCACAUUGCGCCCGCCGGCAUUCCGGCGGGCAUGCCUGUCCGAGCGUCAUUAUCACCACUCAAGCACGGCUUGUUGUUGGGGCACCCGGCCGCCAGGCGGCCGGGGCCCCCAAGUACAUCGGCGGUCUCGCUGGGACCCUGAGCGCAGUAACUCGCGGCAACGCGCGCCUCGCUCGGUGGAUCACGGCGGGCUCCAGCCGCUAAACCCCAACUUACAGGUUGACCUCGGAUCAGGUAGGAAUACCCGCUGAACUUAA
This 260-nucleotide unclassified non-coding RNA is filed under the name uncultured Magnaporthaceae. RNAcentral describes it as "sequence contains ITS2". The record is from RNAcentral. Lineage: Eukaryota; Fungi; Ascomycota; Sordariomycetes; Magnaporthales; Magnaporthaceae.